RNAcentral lists this small RNA (28 nucleotides) under Bombyx mori (domestic silkworm). RNAcentral's name for it is "ovarian small RNA-29454". The record is from RNAcentral. Lineage: Eukaryota; Metazoa; Arthropoda; Insecta; Lepidoptera; Bombycidae.
UCUACGCAUCCAGUUACUGCCAGCUGCC